Humulus lupulus (European hop) is the source of this 1058-nucleotide long non-coding RNA. RefSeq lists it as uncharacterized. The record is from RefSeq and is a predicted model, not a curated record. The transcript has 2 exons. Lineage: Eukaryota; Viridiplantae; Streptophyta; Magnoliopsida; Rosales; Cannabaceae.
AGCGGCACAUCAUGUUUUGUGAAAUUUAUGAGGGGUGACAUCGCCCCUAAUGCUCUGCCUUGUCGCUUCUAGUAAUGUUAUAAUACUCUUUGCUUCUCUACCAUUCUGCCAUUGUUUCCUGCAACCAAAAAAUGAAAAAUGAAAAACUCAUUUCCCCUUUUGUAAACCGAGUACCUUAAACCCAUUUUUCCCAAAUCUUUCAUUUUUUUUCCUAAAAUCAAAACCAAUCAUAAACCAUUUUCCCUCUCUCUCACUCUCUCUCACACACACACCCAUUACCGCCGACCACCAUGUGGAGCACCCCACCUGCUGCUGCCGCCACCUAAGAUCUUCCACCCGCUGCUGCUGCUAGCUUGGAUCUGCCCCACCUACCACCGCCGCCAGUUCGAAAGUGACCCAAGCAUUAGAUCGAAGAGGUUGUACGCCCUGAUUUUCCCACUGGUUGAUUAGCGAGCUGAGCUGCGGCCUAAUCAUGAUUAUCUCGUGGACAUCCCCAAAACCGGAGCUGCCGUCAUAAGGUCGUACCUCCUUAGCUCGAGGUAACCCAAGGGUUCGCCAAGCUUGCCUAAGAACUGAGUCCGGACUCUGAAGGCCGAAGGUUGAGUUAAGUAUCCAGCUCGUGGUAUGAGCUGGAUCUGGAGGCUAUGACCCUUUGUAAAGUCAACACACGCAAGGUAAACGUGGAUAUAUCAGACAUCACGUGUUUGAUAUGCCCCUGACUUCUCGGACACGCAGCAGGAACGUGCGUAUUCAGACACCCACGACUGGGUUGGGCCGUGCAGCCCAUUAUCUCCUUACCUAUUGAUUUGACCACACUUAUGUGUCAGGUUUAGGAAUUAAUCAUGAAUGUUACAGAGUUGAUACGAUAGGUAAGAAGGUCACGGGAUGACCUUCUUACCAACUCCCAGGUGCCUUCUCCUAUAAAUAUGGAGACCCUGGGAGUUGAUAAGGGUUGGAUGAUCUCUUGUAAGAAAGACCCUGUAAUCAAAUACCCAGUAUAUAGCAAUAAUACUGACUAGUGGAGUAGAAGGAUUUUAACCUUUGAACCACUUAAAAAC